GGGCUUGUUUUGGCAGCACAUAUACUAAAAUCAGAACAGUAAAGAGAAGAUUAGCAUGGCCCCUGGGCAAAGAUGACAGACGAAUUCAUGAAGUGUUCCGUAUUUUU
This is a small nuclear RNA of Gorilla gorilla gorilla (western lowland gorilla), 107 nucleotides long. Lineage: Eukaryota; Metazoa; Chordata; Mammalia; Primates; Hominidae. The record is from Ensembl.